Molecule: ribosomal RNA, 612 nt
Filed under: Triticum aestivum (bread wheat)
Lineage: Eukaryota; Viridiplantae; Streptophyta; Magnoliopsida; Poales; Poaceae
Description: partial small subunit ribosomal RNA
Source: RNAcentral
AUGGAUGGUCUUCUCCAUUGGGACUUUGCUCCGGGCCUAGCCCUUGCAAAUCAGGUGAGGCACAGGUUUGGCACGACAGUCCAUUUUUCCCCUUCCCAAGGAUCUAGGGAAUUCUUUAUGGUGGUCACUUUCUCCUCAGCCUCCUUUCCUCUCUCGGUGGAAUCUAUUGGUAUUGCUUUGCAAUGUUGUCUUGGGGGUCUAAGCUCUGGAUUCCAUGUCACCAAGAUCAAGGAUCGCACCUUCCGUUUUUCUGUUGCAAGCAACAAAGUUGGUCAUUUCAUAUAUGGUUUGAAAGAUCGAGUAUGGCUAGAUUUUGUUUGUCACUUCCAUCUUUUUAAUGGCCGAUAUGCUAGAGCUCCUGUCUCUGCCUCUUCCUGGCAUGCGGAUCAAGAAAAUUUGGACAUUCCUUCUCGGUCUCCAGUUGCGAUCAAGUCCAACCUUAGAUUCAAGACGCCAAUGGGCUCACCAGGAUCACGGUCUGCUCAGAUCCUUGGCAAAUUCAACAUUGUUCCAAUUGACAAGAUGGUUUUUUCAAACAAAAAUUCUUGCGAAGCUUCAUCUUCUGGUCAGAUGCUUCAUAAUUUGAAUUUGGAUGAUCCCUUGAUUCAGUAG